RNAcentral lists this long non-coding RNA (254 nucleotides) under Erythranthe guttata (spotted monkey flower). RNAcentral's name for it is "long non-coding RNA (EGUT_LNC001184)". The record is from RNAcentral. Lineage: Eukaryota; Viridiplantae; Streptophyta; Magnoliopsida; Lamiales; Phrymaceae.
CAACUUAUUACAGUGUUCCAAGGCAUACUACUUGAUAAAAUCCUCAUGAAAUAUAAAUUAAAUUAAAGGACAAUGAAGUUGUGGAAGAAAACGGCAAGUAUCACCACCGCAAGUCCGCUAGUCAUCGAACUAACAUCGCUUGUUGUUGCUCCUAUUGUUGUUGUUGCUGGUGGCGGUGGUGGUAGUUGUGGUAGACGUGAACGAGUGGGUGGUGGAGGAGAACCGGUGGGGUUUCUCUUUGGUGGACUUUCCGU